CCGUAACUAUAACGGUCCUAAGGUAGCGAAAUUCCUUGUCGGGUAAGUUCCGACCUGCACGAAUGGCGUAAUGAUGGCCAGGCUGUCUCCACCCGAGACUCAGUGAAAUUGAACUCGCUGUGAAGAUGCAGUGUACCCGCGGCAAGACGGAAAGACCCCGUGAACCUUUACUAUAGCUUGACACUGAACAUUGAGCCUUGAUGUGUAGGAUAGGUGGGAGGCUUUGAAGUGUGGACGCCAGUCUGCAUGGAGCCGACCUUGAAAUACCACCCUUUAAUGUUUGAUGUUCUAACGUUGGCCCGUAAUCCGGGUUGCGGACAGUGUCUGGUGGGUAGUUUGACUGGGGCGGUCUCCUCCUAAAGAGUAACGGAGGAGCACGAAGGUUGGCUAAUCCUGGUCGGACAUCAGGAGGUUAGUGCAAUGGCAUAAGCCAGCUUGACUGCGAGCGUGACGGCGCGAGCAGGUGCGAAAGCAGGUCAUAGUGAUCCGGUGGUUCUGAAUGGAAGGGCCAUCGCUCAACGGAUAAAAGGUACUCCGGGGAUAACAGGCUGAUACCGCCCAAGAGUUCAUAUCGACGGCGGUGUUUGGCACCUCGAUGUCGGCUCAUCACAUCCUGGGGCUGAAGUAGGUCCCAAGGGUAUGGCUGUUCGCCAUUUAAAGUGGUACGCGAGCUGGGUUUAGAACGUCGUGAGACAGUUCGGUCCCUAUCUGCCGUGGGCGCUGGAGAACUGAGGGGGGCUGCUCCUAGUACGAGAGGACCGGAGUGGACGCAUCACUGGUGUUCGGGUUGUCAUGCCAAUGGCACUGCCCGGUAGCUAAAUGCGGAAGAGAUAAGUGCUGAAAGCAUCUAAGCACGAAACUUGCCCCGAGAUGAGUUCUCCCUGACUCCUUGAGAGUCCUGAAGGAACGUUGAAGACGACGACGUUGAUAGGCCGGGUGUGUAAGCGCAGCGAUGCGUUGAGCUAACCGGUACUAAUGAACCGUGAGGCUUAACCUU
Molecule: ribosomal RNA, 997 nt
Filed under: human gut metagenome
Description: bacterial LSU rRNA
Rfam family: Bacterial large subunit ribosomal RNA
Source: RNAcentral